This 433-nucleotide ribosomal RNA is filed under the name uncultured bacterium. Its description in RNAcentral is "bacterial SSU rRNA". It matches the Rfam family "Bacterial small subunit ribosomal RNA", at positions 29 to 507 of the family's 1533-position model. The record is from RNAcentral.
AACGAACGCUGGCGGCAUGCCUAACACAUGCAAGUCGAACGAAGGCUUCGGCCUUAGUGGCGCACGGGUGCGUAACGCGUGGGAACCCUGCCCCUCGGUUCGGAAUAACAGUUAGAAAUGACUGCUAAUACCGGAUGAUGACUUCGGUCCAAAGAUUUAUCGCCGAGGGAUGGGCCCGCGUAGGAUUAGCUAGUUGGUGGGGUAAAGGCCUACCAAGGCGACGAUCCUUAGCUGGUCUGAGAGGAUGAUCAGCCACACUGGGACUGAGACACGGCCCAGACUCCUACGGGAGGCAGCAGUGGGGAAUAUUGGACAAUGGGCGAAAGCCUGAUCCAGCAAUGCCGCGUGAGUGAUGAAGGCCUUAGGGUUGUAAAGCUCUUUUACCAGGGAUGAUAAUGACAGUACCUGAGAAUAAGCUCCGGCUAACUCCGUG